CCGAUAGAUAGCACCACAAUGAUAAUUAUCAGCUGGAAUAUCAGUUGUUGCAGUGUAGUGAAACAUGUCGCAGUAAUAAUAAAUACGUGAACUUAUUGAUGAAGUUUCUUUAAUUUCCUACAAGUGAAAUGAAGUUCCAUCAUAGUUCUUGUACUCGUAGGUACACUAACAAUGCAUUAUGUGCAUAAAUGCAAAAUGAUGUUAAUGCUAUUUAUGCAUAAACAAACAAUGCACUCGCAAAUAUUAACGCCAUCUAUCAACCAUUAUUAUGAAACUACUUCAAAAACUAACCUAAAACAUAUCUCCAUUAUACUUGAAGUAUUUUUGAGAAAAACAUUCACUGCGAUACUCAGCAGUAACCAACAACCACAAACCGUUAAUUGUUGAAGAAUGACUGAGUGACUGAAUGACUCCUGACAUCACCGAGUUCAUAAUCUAUUCGGUAACAAAGCCUACAGCAACAAAGAAAGCUGAGUGUAACACGAAGCAAUCAAUCGAAUCGAUCUGGUGCGAGAGGAAACACAUUCCAGCGGGCAUGUUCCGCUCACCACUCGAAGAAAGAAGCUCGAUUGAUGUACCUAUAACAAAAUACAAUAUUUUAACGCGGACGCGGAGCGAAACACGAAAAGCGGCAAUUACGAAUUACGAACGUCGACAGCGCAAUUGAUCCGUUCGUUCGUGGUUGGAAUCCGACGAGAUUGUACAGAUCUUGAUGGUUAAAAAGCAGAAGAAGAAGAAGAAAAAACCUAACUGUAUUCUGUUAUUUUUUACUAUUAC
Molecule: long non-coding RNA, 777 nt
Organism: Dalotia coriaria
Lineage: Eukaryota; Metazoa; Arthropoda; Insecta; Coleoptera; Staphylinidae
Exons: 4
Source: RefSeq, a predicted model, not a curated record